UUAAAGCUGCAUUGACUUGUCUUUAUUGCUUGAAACUGUAUUGCUGUUGCAAAUUGCUGAUUUAGUGAAAUGUGUCUAGGUAAACACUGUGUUUGCAACACAUUUGGGCCAUCUGAGAGCUAACAAAGACAUUUCCUGAUUCAUCAAACAGUUCACUAACUAAAUGCUUCUUGCAUUGGAUUAAGUCACUGAUGAUGAGCCACGCAGAAGCGGCUUUAUAUCCGGGGCGCCUCCCUGAAGCCUGAAGCUUCUAACAAUACAGGCCGGUUUGAACCGGGGCGGUUUCUGGGGAUUCAGACUGACAAUGUUGUUGAUCAACAUUUUGGGGAAAUCUUCAUGCCUGCAUCAUGGAUUUAAAACAAUGUAGAAAUCCUAACGAUGUGAAGAUGUUACUUCCAGAAGACUGUCUUUACAAGGACACAUUUCCACUUACACAAUGGGCGGAGGACAUUUGGAAGUGAAGCUACGAGCUAACGGCAUUUCGUCUUUAGUAUCUCUUUUAUAACGCAGCAUCUUCUUCUUUUUUCAUCUGACGCGUAUCAGUGAUAAUUUCUCUAUAACAGCGGUUGCUGCUUACCUUC
Molecule: long non-coding RNA, 581 nt
Organism: Rhinichthys klamathensis goyatoka
Lineage: Eukaryota; Metazoa; Chordata; Actinopteri; Cypriniformes; Leuciscidae
Exons: 3
Source: RefSeq, a predicted model, not a curated record